UGGCACCCCAUGCAUCAUCGAUCAGUGCCUACUACUAACACAGGGGGAAUCCAUCCGUGCUUAAAUGCAGCAGCCUCUGCUCCUGUGAUCGCAAAUAUUUGAUUUGCAUUUUGAGUUUCCCUCCAAAGCUCGCCUCAGUUUACCCAAAAGAAGAAAACAUCCACCCCCAAUGAAUAAGGCUACGUCUGUGUUCCCAGGGUUCAUGCCAGGCUGGGAAACAUCACAACAGAGAUGGACCAAAUGCCCUAGCCCCGACUCCCCAUAAAUUAAAGAGCCAGAUAACCAGACACCAACGCGCGCACCAAGGCGAAGACUGAGCUUAAACUCAUCAACCAGGAGGGAAGGCUCUGCUGCCUGCGUCCUGCCUGGGACACACUCGGCCACGCUGCUGCAGUGCAACCACGGCCACCACGGGCACCGCAUCGCGCCCGCCGCCCUCACCCACCUUCUUUGCGCAGGGGCCUUGGCAAACAGAUACUUACUGGGCAUUCCGGAAUGUGCUGAUCUAUGGUCGGACACUGUUCUUUGCCAUGCCUGCCUCGGGUGGCCUCUACAGCCUUUCCACACAUGCAACUGUGCAGAGCGUGUGGGUCAUCCCAAGAACGGAGGGGUGAUGUCUCUGCACGACUCACCGCGUCACUAGUGAUUAGCAGAACACCUGCCCCUCAGUAACUAACAUGAAACGAGCAUUCAUUUUUAAAUCAAUAGGAAAGGAGCACCUGGGUGGCUCAGGGGGUUCAAGCAUCUGCCUUUGGCUCCGGUCAUGAUCCCGGGGUCCUGGGAUCGAGC
Molecule: long non-coding RNA, 789 nt
Filed under: Ursus maritimus (polar bear)
Lineage: Eukaryota; Metazoa; Chordata; Mammalia; Carnivora; Ursidae
Description: lncRNA (ENSUMAG00000024081.1)
Source: RNAcentral